GGCAAGGUGGCCGAGUGGUCCAAGGCGUGUGACUCAAGCGAAAGCUUGCCUGAGUAAGCUCGGGUUUCUCAUCUGCGUAUGCAGGCAGGGGUUCGAAUCCCCUUCUUGUCA
Lactifluus volemus is the source of this 111-nucleotide non-coding RNA. The record is from the annotation of a GenBank genome assembly. NCBI's taxonomy places the organism in Eukaryota, Fungi, Basidiomycota, Agaricomycetes, Russulales, Russulaceae.